GGUGAUGUAGCUCAGCUGGUUAGAGCACAGCAUUCAUAAUGCUGGGGUCGAGGGUUCAAGUCCCUCUUUCACCACCA
Molecule: transfer RNA, 77 nt
Filed under: Methylophilaceae bacterium
Lineage: Bacteria; Pseudomonadati; Pseudomonadota; Betaproteobacteria; Nitrosomonadales; Methylophilaceae
Also listed under: 2 other names
Description: tRNA-Met
Rfam family: tRNA
About the family: Transfer RNA (tRNA) molecules are approximately 80 nucleotides in length. Their secondary structure includes four short double-helical elements and three loops (D, anti-codon, and T loops).
Source: RNAcentral